Molecule: non-coding RNA, 135 nt
Organism: Triticum urartu
Lineage: Eukaryota; Viridiplantae; Streptophyta; Magnoliopsida; Poales; Poaceae
Source: Rfam
AUAUUACUCCCUCCGUCCGGAAAUAUUUGUCAUCAGAAUUGAUAAAAGGGGAUGUAUCUAGAUGUAUUUUAGUUCUAGAUACAUCUCUUUUUAUCAAUUUUGGUGACAAGUAUUUUCGGACGGAGGGAGUAGUUU